Cervus elaphus (red deer) is the source of this 380-nucleotide long non-coding RNA. RefSeq lists it as uncharacterized. NCBI's taxonomy places the organism in Eukaryota, Metazoa, Chordata, Mammalia, Artiodactyla, Cervidae. The record is from RefSeq and is a predicted model, not a curated record. The transcript is spliced from 3 exons.
GGGCAGUGGGGCAGGAACCGAGGGAGGCCUGGUUUCACACUGAGCCACAGGCGUGCCUGGCCUUGGGGAUAGCUCUAAAACAGACAGAGUUCCAGUUAUCACAAAUUUACACAUGGUGGCAUCAGGGAAGGCCUCCUGGAGGAGGUGACCAUGUAAAGGAGGAGAAUGUUCCUGGGAGGAGGAAUGGCCAGUACAGAGGCUCAGAAAUGGCUUGGAGCUUGUUGGUGUUUGAGGAAGAAGACAGAGGCAACAUCUCACUCACUGAUGUCAGCUGGUUGCAAACCCUAAUGCCUUCAGGGGAGAGAGAGGCAGCAGAAGUAUACAAAGUGACACAUGGUGAACUGGAGGCAAAAAGAGAACAGAAAAUACAAACUGGCUUG